UGCAACAGAAAACCACAAGUUAUGAGCCUAAUUGUUUCAGAAAACCCAAAUGACCCGGUUUUGUCAAUUUGACAGCAAAUCCGACAGGGACGGCCCACAGCUCAGACGCCACGUCCGACAAACUCUUUUUUCCCCAGCUCCUCAUCCAAGUCUAUAUUUGCACCCAACAACAAAUAACAUUUUCCCCGGAAAAAAACAACAAAUAGCAUAAAAAAACAGAAAAUUACCUGGCUGCCUCGGUGCCUCCAUACCGGCG
This 256-nucleotide long non-coding RNA is filed under the name Brachypodium distachyon (stiff brome). RNAcentral's name for it is "long non-coding RNA (BDIS_LNC002210)". Lineage: Eukaryota; Viridiplantae; Streptophyta; Magnoliopsida; Poales; Poaceae. The record is from RNAcentral.